UACGAAGGGGGCUAGCGUUGCUCGGAAUUACUGGGCGUAAAGCGCACGUAGGCGGUUCUUUAAGUCAGGGGUGAAAUCCCGGAGCUCAACUCCGGAACUGCCUUUGAUACUGAGGGUCUCGAGUCCGGGAGAGGUGAGUGGAACUGCGAGUGUAGAGGUGAAAUUCGUAGAUAUUCGCAAGAACACCAGUGGCGAAGGCGGCUCACUGGCCCGGUACUGACGCUGAGGUGCGAAAGCGUGGGGAGCAAACAGG
This 253-nucleotide ribosomal RNA is filed under the name uncultured bacterium. RNAcentral's name for it is "partial 16S ribosomal RNA". It matches the Rfam family "Bacterial small subunit ribosomal RNA", at positions 524 to 776 of the family's 1533-position model. The record is from RNAcentral.